Molecule: non-coding RNA, 786 nt
Organism: Dermacentor andersoni
Lineage: Eukaryota; Metazoa; Arthropoda; Arachnida; Ixodida; Ixodidae
Source: RefSeq, a predicted model, not a curated record
UAGGCUGCUGCUAUACACGCGGCAUUGUUUUGAGGUCGGAGGUUUCUGCGUAGUCGACCGGCUGAAUUCGGUAGGCAUUCUUGUUAUUCAGGCCACUUGAAGGCUUGUAAUUUGGACAACUUCCAAUUAAAUGUUUAAAAAUUAUCUCGGUAGAUCAACUUUGUGAGUAAAACGUGGGUAGCUACUUUAGCCCGCAUAAUAAGAACAACAAGCUAUAAUCGUCGACAUAAUGAGCGUAAAGCGUGGUGAGCUGCGUUAUAAACACGCCCGAUAAUAGUGUCUACUGUAGGGAUAAAUUAAUUGCAUAUGAAAUAUUCAGUACCCAUUGCAAAACUGUUCAAACGAGCAGGCAGGCCCUCACCUCCAAAAAUCAUACCACCGAUGUGAUUUCGUAUAUUGUCUUGUACUCAUAUAAUCUACUCCCCAAACAGUUUUCAGUCAAGUGGAUGUGGCCACGCGGUGCCAGGCUUGUGACCUGCCAUUGUAACCCACAGGUGGGGUGUUGCGCUGCACAACUCGAGGGAAGAAAUACACCUGUUCUCUCUUUCGCGGAACAUGCGAACCUAACAAUACAAACUGCCAAUCAUUGAAGAAUGCAAGCAAGUCCUGCGGUAAAAACAAGAAAUGUUGCAUAAACCUGCAGUAGGAAAACUAUUAUGCAGCACGCCAUGCCUCUAUGUGCUUGAAAACAUUAGCGGCGGACCGUAAAUUCAUAUCACCUAUUUCCUUCCACCUGAUUAUCUUUUUGUAAUAAAGGCGUGCUCGGCACAUAAUUAUAAGCGCAAA